This 234-nucleotide ribosomal RNA is filed under the name uncultured bacterium. RNAcentral's name for it is "partial 16S ribosomal RNA". It matches the Rfam family "Bacterial small subunit ribosomal RNA", at positions 255 to 504 of the family's 1533-position model. The record is from RNAcentral.
GGGUAACGGCCCACCAAGGCGACGAUCAGUAGCCGGACUGAGAGGUUGACCGGCCACAUUGGGACUGAGAUACGGCCCAGACUCCUACGGGAGGCAGCAGUGGGGAAUAUUGGGCAAUGGACGCAAGUCUGACCCAGCAACGCCGCGUGAAGGAAGAAGGCUUUCGGGUUGUAAACUUCUUUUAACAGGGAAGAGAAGAAGACGGUACCUGUUGAAUAAGCCACGGCUAACUAC